This 690-nucleotide long non-coding RNA is filed under the name Vigna radiata. Its description in RNAcentral is "long non-coding RNA (VRAD_LNC000820)". The record is from RNAcentral. Lineage: Eukaryota; Viridiplantae; Streptophyta; Magnoliopsida; Fabales; Fabaceae.
GCGAUCCGCGGUGACGCUGUCUCACGGUGGUGUUGUUCCUGUUCCACAAGAGAAGGAGAGGAAAGGGGGAAACUCUCAAACGGCACCGGAUCGGAGGUCGACGAGGGAAACCGCGACUGGGGUUCACGGUGGCCUCUAGAGGUACGGUGGUUCCGUACAGGGGUGGUCUGAUUAGGGGUUGCCGGCGUCGUCUAGGCUGGCCAGAUGAGAAUGGUGCCCGUCGGGCAGAGCCAGUGGUGUGCGUGGGCUCGAGAGAGGCGCCCCCGCGAGAGAUGGUAGGGCCGGUGGCGCCGUGACCGACUGUGGUCCUGGUGGUGUUAGCUGUUGCCGGUCGUCAGGUGGAGGCGGUGGCGUGUGGCCCGGUCUGGCAGAGACGGUGUGUGCGUGGAUUUGAUGGAGGCAGACCCUUCCCUGGGUUUCUCUGCAGAGAGGAAGAGACCUUAGGUCUCUUGUUCGAACAAAAAUGAGAGAAAGGGCAGAACCCCUAAUGUUUUAGUUGGGAAGAAGGCCUUGGGCCUGGGCUGCUUCUUUGCUUCCUGGCGACGUGCAACUCCCAUUCACACCUCCCUCCAUUUCUAAAAAAAAAAAAAAGAAAGGGAGACCUUGGGCCUGACCAGCAAUUACUACACGCGCCCCCAAUUUUCAUCAGCUGCACCCUUGUCUUUGGACCCAGACAAAUUUCGAGCUGCA